ACUGACCCACCUGCAGCUUCAGUAAAGCAAGAUCUUCCUAAGGUGCAAAUUCAUGACCUUCAUGAUGGUGCUUCUGUCUGCGAUUGCAAAUGGACCUGUGAUGGCCAUAGGUGGUGACUGGCACUGCAGAAGACACGGACUUAUUGAAGAAAUACAUAACAGAAUACUGAAUAUUUAGUAGAGAAAUUGAGAGAAAGAAUAUACAUGAAAGCAACAUCUUUUUGGUUGCUAGAUCAAGAGAGCACAACCUCUGCUUCUGAAGCUGCAUCUACAACACGAGAAUUGGAGGCUUUCUCAGAACUCCAGGAGUGUGGGGACUGUAUGUUGCCUACCCUGCCAGGCCUGCAGCUCACCACCAAGGUAGGAAAUCUGCCCUUGUAGGUGAGCAAAGACUCCGAAAGUACUUCUCAGCCGGUGUGCCCCUGCCCCUGCUGCUUGGAGAGAUGGUGGCAGUGAAGAUGACAUACUAUAGUGNGAUUAAAUGUUGCACAAAGGAUCACUGGAUUCUGUGGCUGUAUCCUG
Molecule: long non-coding RNA, 522 nt
Filed under: Salvator merianae (Argentine black and white tegu)
Lineage: Eukaryota; Metazoa; Chordata; Lepidosauria; Squamata; Teiidae
Description: lncRNA (ENSSMRG00000008087.1)
Source: RNAcentral